CUCAGACUGGGGCUGCAAGAGCAGACAGAAGGAUGGAGAGAAGCGAUGAGAGAGCAGGCGGUGAAAAAAGAAAGAGCUUGACAGGUUUCCGAUUAAGAUGCACCUGAUGUUUUCUGGAUGUCAUAGGAGCAGCCAACUUGUCAAGGCAUUGAGCCAUCCGUCCAUAAAUCUUGGCAUAUGUCCAUAUCGUUCCCUCCACCAUCUAACUCCAAUAGAUCUAUCCAUCCCUCUCCUUUACGCUGGAAGGCACGCUCCUCCUCUGUCUUCUCUCCAUAUCCAUUUUACAAUCUCCUCUACAUUCCACCCACACAGCAACCCUCCUCCCUUCCAUAUCUCCUUGCUUGUCACUUCCACAGAUCCUGAGGGCAUCACUCACUACAUCCUUCUACUCUAAUUUAUCUUAAGUCUCUCUACUGUACUGUUUAGUGGAGCGCUGACCACUGCUCUAUGUUCUCCCCCCCUCUCCAAGAGUAUGACGAAGAUGUAUGGAAGGAAUGAAGCAGCACUGAGGGAACGCUGAACACAGGCCGAAGAGUGGAACAGAGGGACGGAGACCACCUGUAAUCUACCUAAAAACGACAGCAAGGAAACGGAGAGAAUCAGACUUUUUUUCCUCUCUCUCGCCGCAUAGGAGACAAUCCACAGGCUUCCGUCUGUCUCAGAAGGAUGCAAAGGCGUCACUGCGGUUUGUAGGAUGAAGAAAAAUACUGAGCAUACAAUGGCGAGUUGUUAGGGAGAGACAAAAAAAACGGAAACAGUCGCGAUAUUCUGGAAGCUAAAGGGAGGAGAGAGCAGUAUGACUCACAGCAGCUUGAAUGCUGUGUUUUGUAUGCCGGAGGAGGGCUAGAGGGAGAUAGAGGAGAAAUGAGAGAGACACAGGAAGAUAAAUAGAGGAGACCUGAGUAGAAGUGAGCACUUGUCAGAUGAAGAAAGAAGCCACAACCGAGAGGCAAUGAGUGACAGACUGCAGGCAGAGUGAAUCAGCUUGCUGGAGGGUUAGGAAGGUGAAAGGUGGAGGAGAGUUGAGGAAGUGGUGGGUUUAGUAUGAGGGAAGGGUCGCUGACAAGACCGCAAAUGACAGCAGGACAUGCUAAGACAUAGCUCCUAGGGUUGCACAUGGGAAGGGUUACACAUUGAAAAUGCAGCAGAAAUGUGACAUAGGGAUAUGAGAACAAACCAGGCCACAGAGAAAAAAACGAGCAGAAAGCUGUAGUUUUUUAAAAAAAAAGGACCAAAAUAGAAAUGCAGCAGACCAGAAAACAUGUCAGCGUAUGCACAACGCCAGGGACAGCAUGGAAACUUUAACUGUGACAACGACACAGCAAGAGAUUCCUGUUAAAUAUUCAUGCUGACAGGCUCUCUGGAAAGAACUUCCUCCGUCACAGAGAGAAAACAGAUCGCUUUUAUCCUGUGGGAUUUUUUACAUUAGACAAGCUGCUAAGUGUGUCAGGACACGUUAAUAUCUUGCUCCAAAUUGAAGCAAGACCUGGUACUUGCUGGGACGUGACCACCUGGAGGUGAUUGGACAGGUGUGAAGAGAGGGCAUUGACUCCUGGAAGAAGAUGUGGAGUUGUGGAAGCCAAGAUGGAGGGCAUACACAUUUAACUAGGUUUUUUCCUGGCAUAUGUGCAGAGAAUUAAGCUUGAUCUUGACACGUAUCACUGCCAUAUCCAAAUUUGACUCAUGGACUGAAUAGAACCUUUUAGAUUUGGUCUAAAAAUUGCCCUUUUAUCUGGAUUAAUCCAGGUAUGAUCCAUAUCUUCAGGAAGCAUCGUGCUGUUUUUUGUGGUAGCAUCUUGAAGGACCUGGAAUGUAUCAUUUUUUCCUCUUAAUGGCAUCGAGGUAUUAAGACAGAGACUCACUCAGCUCUGACCUGAAAAUCUUAUUCCUCAAAACAAUAUAAUAGGACGGCACAUAGUCUCUCACCCCGCAGCUGUAGAAAGACCAGCUUGGUGUUUGUGUGCGGGUGUAAGUUACUGUCGAGGAGCUGCGUUGUAUCCGUGCACAUGCUUGUGAGAGAUGUAGACUUGUGUGUGCCUGCCAAGCUCCCAAGCCAGCUGUGUCUGUGCAUUUUCUCCCCAAACGUCACCCGGAGCUGUGUGUGUGCGUGUGCCGCCUGGAUUCCCACUGGCGACAGAGCUGGACCUGAGCAGCGGUGGUGAGCGGGGGUACCAGGAGCGGGACGAGGAGGAGAAUAGUGAGGUGAAAGAAACCAACAGGCGGGAAGACAGGAAGAAACUGACAUCAUGCUUGGAUAAACAAAAGAAAGAAAGGAGUUCCUGGCUGCCUCCCUGGUGCAAUGUGUGGCGUCGUGCCCAGUGGCGGUGGGGUUCUGUGAUGGUAACCAUGGUCCCCGGCAGCCGCUAUGUCUGCAGCACUCAUGCAAGACAGGAGGACUCCACGAACGAUCGAGAGGAGCGAAUUUUAGCCGUGUUGGGCAUCAUCGGAACCAUUCUCAAUCUUUUAGUGGUCAUAUUUGUCUACAUCUACACCUCGGUCACUUAAGAGCUUUGGACGGUUGGCGUUAUUCCCAACGUUCCUACUGCCGUACAUCUCUUAUGCACGUGGAGGGUUAGCACUUCGAAGAUGGGAGGAUCCUUGGCAGCGUGUACAGCUGGAUAGUCGCCGUCUGUAACUGCAUGGCUGCACUGCUGUGAGGACAGUUCUACUCCAUUUCCUGAAGACUGCUGCCAAUGUCACGUCUUCUCUCCCUUCUUGCUCAUAUCCAGCUUGUCAUCUUAAGACAGCCUCCUGCCAAAUUACUGCUGACACUGUCUGCUUGUGUUCAUUGCACUGCAUUUCUAUGAAAAUGGGACUUGAUGGUGGAUUUUACUGUGCUGUGUGUCAGACUGUAAGUCUGUUUUUCAGUUUUUAUCCGUGGGAUAGGGUUUGUUUCACUGCCAAAUGAAUAAUUACAGGCCAAUGGGCAAAUGUUGAAGAAUAAAGAGGACGCUAGGUAUAGUUUUAAUAGAAACAAUGAAAGCUCAAAUGCCACUUGACCAAUGAACUGAAGGACUUUUGUGCCUCUCUUUUAAAACGUUUAACCUAAUGUUCGUAUCAGCAGAUAAAUACACGAUGUUGCACAUUACCAGUAACUGUAGCAAGCAGUUUUAAAAAUGAUUUCCAUGGAACUAACUUGUCCAUAUCUGAGCACACCAGAGGAGAGAUUCCUGGCGCUGCUGGGGGUCAUCGGCAUCAUACUCAAUCUCUUGCUGCUUGCCUUUGUCUACGUAUACACAUCCAUUUGACCUUGUGCAUAUGUUCUGCAUACGCUAUACUCUCCUGCUAUAUUUGCAAACAGUGUUCAUGGGCGUAUGUGUCGUCUAGAUAUACAUACUCAGAUAUCUGAUAUUUUGCAAAUGUCAGUUUGCAUUUCAUAAGUAAUCUGCGGCCCCGAUGAACAUCAUGACAUGUUUACUUAAGCUUGCAUUGCCAUGGACGUUGCUAUGCUCCAACCAAACUGACAGAUGCAAUUGAAUUUACCCAGUUUGCGCAAUUUGCCUUUUCAUGUGCAAACUAUAAAACGCAAAAAUGGACAGGGAGGGUGUUGAUAAUUCAACGUGGGCAGCAGCUCGUCACAACAGCAAUGAUCCCGCCGUGGAUGCUUGGUGUCGAGAGUAAUGGUUUAUUUCCUGGUGCCCUGCUUCUUUGAUUGGAUCUGUCAAGCGGGAAUGGAGUACCGUCAAAGAUGCGAAAGUGUGCAACUGAGACAAUGUCACACACAUCGAGACAGGGUACGGGUGCAUCAUGACGCAAAGAUGCAGGAUAUUUGCAGUGGGAAUAAGUGGAAGCCAUGAGCAGUGUCUUACAUUAGAGGUACUAAUGGGGGCUUUUACUGCCUGUUUGCAGACACAAAAAAUGACCUGCCAUUGGGUUGAAACUUUUCCACUGAAGUUGUAUGUCACUGUGGGUAGAAUUUGGGACUUUGUGUGUUUGAUGAAGGGAAACAUGUGCAUGACAAGCAAGCAGAAAGGACUGGUCUGAAUCGUCACCUCAACACUGGACCUACAUGGAUCUCUGCAAUGAAGCACACCGCUUUUGUACUGACAUACAUAGCCCAGUGCAUCUAAGCAUCAAGGACAAGCUGAUCAUCAAUCAGUCAGGAGCUUGGAAGUAGACUUAUGAAGCACCUCACCACCGGAGCAACCUGCAAAUCCCUUCCCCACUGCAAGUUUAUUAUUUGGCUUGUAAAAAGGACUUUUGACUUUUUCUAAUCAUUUCAUUUUGACGUAUUCUUGUGAAUUUUGGCAGUGUUUUCAGUUGCAAUCUGAUCUGAAAAGUCCAACACUGGGAAAUACGAUAACACAGCAUACAGCAUAUGCAUCAUAUGCUGCACUUUAGCUUCACCGAGUACAAACAGACACAGUCGGCUACGUACGGUGGCUGACAGGGGCCAACGCGCAGCAAAGACCAAAUGCUCCAAACACAGAAAUGAUCCGAACCGUUGAACACAAGCACCAGGAAAAUGCAGCAGGAUCAACAAUACUGCAAAUUUGAAAAACACACACAAACCCUCUAAAUCCCAUGCAUGAAGAGAAAUGCUGCAAGUUGACAGAACGGAAUGGAAGUUAGCCAGACGAGCAGGUGUGCCAGACCUGAGGGAUAUCCUUAAGAUGUAAUAUUUUACUGUAUUAUACAGUUUUACGGCCAAGUGUUUACAUAUCUGUUCAUUCUGCCAAGUUACUUGUGGGCAUCCCGCUCAUGUCUUUACAGACAGGUAUCCUUCACUUCUGUGUCUGGAGCGUUUGGACGUUUCUGCGCGUUUGCCCGUGGCAGCCACAAUAAGUAUAAAUGUCGCAAUCCUUCCAUGGCUACACAAAUUAACAACAGUAAAAAUAUAAUUAUUGUGUUUGCUAAACACCAAAACACCACAAAAAGAGAAACUUUUAAGCAAUGUAAUCUUCCACGUGUUUUGCUGGUUUUCUUUUUGUAGCCGCAAUUUUGUUUAAAGCGAAUUAGAAACAGCAGGAAGCAGAAGAUUUGUCAAACUUUAUAGGAGGGGAGGUUAUUCUCAAAAAAGUGAAGAUGUGUUGAUAUACUGUACUAGAUUUGCAAAGUAGAUUUAUCAAAGCAUCUGACUUCCUGUUUAAAGUGUGAUGUUGCUCUUGGAACUGAAGUUUACCGCGUGCUUCUACUUUUACCACAUCAUUUCACUUCACAGUUUACUCAACAACACAGCUUGAGACAAGCUGUCCUAUAAACAGUAGUGGUAUACAUUGCUGCAAGGACUAUUUGGCCAGCUUUUUAAGUAUGAAGAUAUACUGCCUGGCCAAAAAGAAGGACACGCGCUGUAAUAUUUUGUUUAGCUUUGAUUACCUGGUGCUGUGGUACUGCUUCCACCAGCAUCUGCAAAGUCACAACAUUUACAGUAUUUCAGUCCGGAGCUGCAUACAUUUUUCACCGAGAUCUUGUACUGAUGGCGGGAGAUUGGGACCACUUUGCAAAGUUUCCUUACUGCUCUUUCACUUUUUAAUAAUGCAUUGGAAAGUUCUUAACCUGAUUUGUGUAGUUUCAGCAAUGUCCUGAGCUGUGCUUGAUGCAUGCCAAUAAUUUGACCCUUCCGAAACAGAUUAACAUCUUUUCCACGACCGCAGGAUGCGUCUUUCAGAAUAGUUGAGUGAGAAAUGAGAAGCUACACACAGCCGCUGAAACAUACGUAAUCACCCAUGCAGUAAUUAUCCAAUGGGAGGCUCUCGGCUAUUUGCUUCAUUAGGUGGUGACCUUUUUUUGUCCAGGCUGUGUAUGUCGGUAGUAAAUAAUGUUUUAAAUGUGCAUCACGGUCAGUGGAAUCACCUUAUUAUGGCUGUAAAGCGCUACACUAAAUGGAAAUUGUUGCCUAAACUGCUUCCAUUUCAAAUGGCAUGCAAACGAAUAAUUUCUGUGAAACUAUAUCCUAACAAAAUCGGUCCCUAAAAGCAGAACUGCUGCGUGCACAGACCAGAUACGUGCCAUCGCUCUCCAUUAAUUGAAUUGACACAUCAUAUAUUUCAAAAGAGUCAAGCGUCAGCAAAGCCACUGCAAUGCAUCAUAGCUCACAAAGUUGAAAACGUUUGUACGAAAGCAAAUAUAUAAAAAGCAUUUAACAGGCUCAGGUUUACUUUGAUGGAGGUAGAGGCUUUACCAGCGUGGCUUUUCAAAGGUUGACCAAAAUAUAUACAUAUAUAUGUAUAUUCUUUAGAAUGACGUAUUUUUUCUGGUAAAACUUUAAACCUGACACUUUUUACAUUCAAAGGUUUUAAUAUUGAUCCCAAAAUAAUACUUACUGCUGUUUGAUAUUGUGAAAACCAUGAACUGACCUACGAGAAGAAAAAUAAUUGUUUUCAUAACAACUAUAAGUGCUGUGAUGCUCUUGCUGACAAUGGUCACAUGACCAAAUUAGUAACUGCUAUUAGCAUUUUUCCACUCCAAUGACUUUUGAUGACUAGUUUAUUAAAUUGCGUGUAUUAUAGUGUCAGGGAUAUAAAUAAAUAUAUUAAUAAGAAGAAAUAAAUUACAAUUACAUUUUAUUACUCCUGUUUUCUGCAUGAAUUUCAUGUUAAAUUUGGUUGAGACAAAUUUUUAACUUGACUUGAUGCCAAACACAGCAAUGAAAGCAAAAAGCCCAGAGGUCAUUUUCUAGCCAUCUGCUGUGCCCACAGACACCCAGCCACCCCCUCAAUGUACACACACACACACACACACAUGCACACACACACACGUAGCAUGGACCUUCUCUUUUAGUAAUGUAGCAUAAUGUUUUUGUGUGUUCAUUUUGGUGCCUAUUUUUAAUCACUCUACAAAUGAAUUUGUGUUCACACCACGAAUGGGAAGCGCCUUCAAAGCCACAGGAAAAACAGCCGCACGCACCUGGGACUUCACGCGCAGGAGUGAAAUAAAACUGAUGAAAUCUACAUCUGUAUUCAGAAAUGUUCAUUCUGAGUCUCAGCCUGUCAACGACUGUAUAAUGAAAUACACAUGUUUUUUUCAUGAUGCAUUAGAUGAACUGAUUUUUAGCCUGAGAGGGCAUCUUGGACACCGCCUGCCUCAGAUUGGAGGGGGAAAAAAAUCUUGAGAAUAAGUGGAUGCUGGAAAUAUUCUAAUUGCUGAUGAAUAUUUAGGAGACAUAAGUCCCUGAGGAAUAAGAGAAAUGUCAAAAUGCGUGGCGAGGCAACGUUUGGAUAUAAUGAGGUCAAACAAAACCAAAAAACACAAAAUAGGUUUUGGAAAGAAAACAAUUAUUCUAAAACCUAAUGAUCAACUCAUCAAUUGAAAUGUUUUUUCCAGACAAGAUGGGAACAGAGCGCAGAGACAUCAUGCUCAUUCAGCCUUCCCUUAACCUUACUAAUGAGUACACAAAAUAUGUGAUUAUUCAUUGCAUUAUUUCUCACUCUGUCAGCAAUUAAUGAAAACGAACCAACUGUGUCAUCUCCGAUUGUGUUCAAACACACAAAAAAUCUGAUAUUCCAAACAUUCUGCAUUACCAGUUAACAUAUGUGUAUAUUUAUCUUUCCUGUUUAUACUGUGUAAGUAGAUACUACAGUAUGGUAACAGUCAUGCCAAUAAAACUGGAGACAACGCUGCUUUCAUUCUGACAUGUUUCAACAAAGGAUGUGCUCAGCGAUCAUUUCAUUUCAACAAUGGAAUAUGACAACGGUAAUGUUAUUUGUGCAACUACCGGUACAUGUGUAAGCUGUUUUGCGGGUUGGAUGAAUGACAUUUGUAUUAAAAGA
Long non-coding RNA from Dunckerocampus dactyliophorus (ringed pipefish), 7709 nucleotides. RefSeq lists it as uncharacterized. Lineage: Eukaryota; Metazoa; Chordata; Actinopteri; Syngnathiformes; Syngnathidae. The transcript is spliced from 3 exons. The record is from RefSeq and is a predicted model, not a curated record.